This 875-nucleotide ribosomal RNA is filed under the name uncultured marine group I thaumarchaeote. Its description in RNAcentral is "bacterial SSU rRNA". It matches the Rfam family "Archaeal small subunit ribosomal RNA", at positions 21 to 903 of the family's 1478-position model. The record is from RNAcentral. Lineage: Archaea; Thermoproteati; Nitrososphaerota.
CCUGACUGCUAUCGGAUUGAUACUAAGCCAUGCGAGUCAUUGUAGUAAUACAAGGCAGACGGCUCAGUAACGCGUAGUCAACCUAACCUAUGGACGGGAAUAACCUCGGGAAACUGAGUAUAAUGCCCGAUAGAACAUUAUGCCUGGAAUGGUUUAUGUUCCAAAUGAUUUAUCGCCGUAGGAUGGGACUGCGGCCUAUCAGUUUGUUGGUGAGGUAAUGGCCCACCAAGACUAUUACAGGUACGGGCUCUGAGAGGAGUAGCCCGGAGAUGGGUACUGAGACACGGACCCAGGCCCUAUGGGGCGCAGCAGGCGAGAAAACUUUGCAAUGUGCGAAAGCACGACAAGGUUAAUCCGAGUGGUUUCUGCUAAAGGAACCUUUUGUCGGUCCUAGAAACACCGAUGAAUAAGGGGUGGGCAAGUUCUGGUGUCAGCCGCCGCGGUAAAACCAGCACCUCAAGUGGUCAGGAUGAUUAUUGGGCCUAAAGCAUCCGUAGCCGGCUUUGUUAGUUUUCGGUUAAAUCUGUACGCUUAACGUACAGGCUGCCGGGAAUACUGCAGAGCUAGGGAGUGGGAGAGGUAGACGGUACUCGGUAGGAAGGGGUAAAAUCCUUUGAUCUAUUGAUGACCACCUGUGGCGAAGGCGGUCUACCAGAACACGUCCGACGGUGAGGGAUGAAAGCUGGGGGAGCAAACCGGAUUAGAUACCCGGGUAGUCCCAGCUGUAAACUAUGCAAACUCAGUGAUGCAUUGGCUUGUGGCCAAUGCAGUGUUGCAGGGAAGCCGUUAAGUUUGCCGCCUGGGAAGUACGUACGCAAGUAUGAAACUUAAAGGAAUUGGCGGGGGAGCACCACAAGGGGUGAAGCCUGCGGUUC